Molecule: ribosomal RNA, 425 nt
Filed under: uncultured bacterium
Lineage: Bacteria
Description: partial 16S ribosomal RNA
Rfam family: Bacterial small subunit ribosomal RNA
Source: RNAcentral
GUGGGGAAUAUUGGACAAUGGGCGCAAGCCUGAUCCAGCCAUGCCGCGUGAGUGAUGAAGGCCUUCGGGUUGUGAAGCUCUUUAGUCCACGAAUAUAAUGACUGCAGUGGAAGAAUAAGCCCCGGCUAACUUCGUGCCAGCAGCCGCGGUAAUACGAAGGGGGCGAGCGUUAUUCGGAAUCACUGGGCGUAAAGCGUGCGUAGGCUGUUUUGUAAGUCAGAAGUGAAAGCCCAGGGCUUAACCCUGGAAUUGCUUUUGAAACUACAAGACUCGAAUUCGGGAGAGGAUAGCGGAAUUGUCAGUGUAGCAGUGAAAUGCGUAGAUAUUGACAGGAACACCAGUGGCGCAAGCGGCUAUCUGGACCGAUAUUGACGCUGAGGCACGAAAGCGUGGGGAGCAAACAGGAUUAGAAACCCCGGUAGUCC